Molecule: ribosomal RNA, 484 nt
Filed under: uncultured bacterium
Lineage: Bacteria
Description: partial 16S ribosomal RNA
Rfam family: Bacterial small subunit ribosomal RNA
Source: RNAcentral
AUUGAACGCUGGCGGCAGGCCUAACACAUGCAAGUCGAGCGGAUGAAGGGAGCUUGCUCCUGGAUUCAGCGGCGGACGGGGGAGUAAUGCCUAGGAAUCUGCCUGGUAGUGGGGGAUAACGUCCGGAGACGGGCGCUAAUACCGCAUACGUCCUGAGGGAGAAAGUGGGGGAUCUUCGGACCUCACGCUAUCAGAUGAGCCUAGGUCGGAUUAGCUAGUUGGUGGGGUAAAGGCCUACCAAGGCGACGAUCCGUAACUGGUCUGAGAGGAUGAUCAGUCACACUGGAACUGAGACACGGUCCAGACUCCUACGGGAGGCAGCAGUGGGGAAUAUUGGACAAUGGGCGAAAGCCUGAUCCAGCCAUGCCGCGUGUGUGAAGAAGGUCUUCGGAUUGUAAAGCACUUUAAGUUGGGAGGAAGGGCAGUAAGUUAAUACCUUGCUGUUUUGACGUUACCAACAGAAUAAGCACCGGCUAACUUCGUG